RNAcentral lists this ribosomal RNA (253 nucleotides) under uncultured bacterium. Its description in RNAcentral is "partial 16S ribosomal RNA". It matches the Rfam family "Bacterial small subunit ribosomal RNA", at positions 524 to 776 of the family's 1533-position model. The record is from RNAcentral.
UACAGAGGUCCCAAGCGUUGUUCGGAUUCACUGGGCGUAAAGGGUGCGUAGGUGGUCGGGUAAGUCUGAUGUGAAAUCUCCGAGCUUAACUCGGAAAUGGCAUUGGAUACUAUUCGGCUAGAGGGUUUGAGGGGGGACUGGAGUACUUGGUGUAGCAGUGAAAUGCGUAGAUAUCAAGUGGAACACCAGUGGCGAAGGCGAGUCCCUGGAAAACUCCUGACACUGAGGCACGAAAGCUAGGGGAGCAAACAGG